Molecule: ribosomal RNA, 478 nt
Filed under: uncultured bacterium
Lineage: Bacteria
Description: bacterial SSU rRNA
Rfam family: Bacterial small subunit ribosomal RNA
Source: RNAcentral
UUGAACGCUGGCGGCAUGCCUUACACAUGCAAGUCGAACGGUAGAGUAGCAAUACUCGAGAGUGGCGAACGGGUGAGUAAUAUAUCGGAACGUGCCCAGUCGUGGGGGAUAACGUAGAGAAAUUUACGCUAAUACCGCAUACGAUCUAAGGAUGAAAGCGGGGGACUCGCAAGGGCCUCGCGCGAUUGGAGCGGCUGAUAUCAGAUUAGGUUGUUGGUGAGGUAAAGGCUCACCAAGCCGACGAUCUGUAGCUGGUUUGAGAGAACGACCAGCCACACUGGGACUGAGACACGGCCCAGACUCCUACGGGAGGCAGCAGUGGGGAAUUUUGGACAAUGGGCGAAAGCCUGAUCCAGCAAUGCCGCGUGCAGGAAGAAGGCCUUCGGGUUGUAAACUGCUUUUGUACGGAACGAAACGGUCCUUUCUAAUAAAGAGGGCUAAUGACGGUACCGUAAGAAUAAGCACCGGCUAACUACGU